RNAcentral lists this ribosomal RNA (512 nucleotides) under uncultured bacterium. RNAcentral describes it as "partial 16S ribosomal RNA". It matches the Rfam family "Bacterial small subunit ribosomal RNA", at positions 28 to 523 of the family's 1533-position model. The record is from RNAcentral.
GAUGAACGCUGGCGGCGUGCCUAAUACAUGCAAGUCGAGCGGAUUGAUGGGAGCUUGCUCCCUGAUAUCAGCGGCGGACGGGUGAGUAACACGUGGGCAACCUGCCUAUAAGACUGGGAUAACUUCGGGAAACCGGAGCUAAUACCGGAUAAUCCCUUUCCUCUCAUGAGGAAAGGCUGAAAGAUGGUUUACGCUAUCCCUUAUAGAUGGGCCCGCGGCGCAUUAGCUAGUUGGUGAGGUAACGGCUCACCAAGGCAACGAUGCGUAGCCGACCUGAGAGGGUGAUCGGCCACACUGGGACUGAGACACGGCCCAGACUCCUACGGGAGGCAGCAGUAGGGAAUCUUCCGCAAUGGACGAAAGUCUGACGGAGCAACGCCGCGUGAGUGAUGAAGGUUUUCGGAUCGUAAAACUCUGUUGUUAGGGAAGAACAAGUACGAGAGUAACUGCUCGUACCUUGACGGUACCUAACCAGAAAGCCACGGCUAACUACGUGCCAGCCGCCGCUGUAA